RNAcentral lists this ribosomal RNA (128 nucleotides) under Bacillus anthracis (anthrax bacterium). Its description in RNAcentral is "partial 16S ribosomal RNA". It matches the Rfam family "Bacterial small subunit ribosomal RNA", at positions 1 to 121 of the family's 1533-position model. Lineage: Bacteria; Bacillati; Bacillota; Bacilli; Caryophanales; Bacillaceae. The record is from RNAcentral.
CUUUAUUUGAGAGUUUGAUCCUGGCUCAGGAUGAACGCUGGCGGCGUGCCUAAUACAUGCAAGUCGAGCGAAUGGAUUAAGAGCUUGCUCUUAUGAAGUUAGCGGCGGACGGGGGAGUAACACGUGGG